AUGGGUUACACGCUCUUCAGUUGCCUGGUCCUCUGUCUCCUGGUGACAGGUCCAGUCAACCCUAAAAUUAUCCAGAAACCAAAACGUCUGGUGGCAGUCACAGGGAGUGAAAGAAUCCUGACGUGCGAACAGCACCUAGGACACAAUGCUAUGUAUUGGUACAGACAAAGUGCUAAGAAGUCCCUAGAGCUCAUGUUUUCCUAUAGCUAUCAAAAACUUAUGGACAACCAGACUAUCCCAAGUCGCUUCCAACCUCACAAUUCAGGGAAAGUGUUAGACCUUCAGAUCACAGCCCUGAAGCCUGAAGAUGCGGCUACAUACUUCUGUGCCAGUAGCCAAGACACAGCCCUGCAAAGCUCUCACUUCUCUGUACACAAACCUCCUUUCCAGGAAACUGCUGAUGUAACUGGUCUACCUGUGCCUGGAGACUCAGUUCCGUAG
Rattus rattus (black rat) is the source of this 441-nucleotide non-coding RNA. The record is from the annotation of a RefSeq genome assembly. NCBI's taxonomy places the organism in Eukaryota, Metazoa, Chordata, Mammalia, Rodentia, Muridae.